Molecule: long non-coding RNA, 477 nt
Organism: Prionailurus viverrinus (fishing cat)
Lineage: Eukaryota; Metazoa; Chordata; Mammalia; Carnivora; Felidae
Exons: 2
Source: RefSeq, a predicted model, not a curated record
CCCAGCUCCCUCUGUCUGCACAACCCAAGCUAUUGGCCCACCACAGGAGCCUGCCUCCAUAGCAAUGAAAAAUAAUUGGAGUAUUUAAGAAUCAGAGUUUUACUGAUGCUCCCAUUAUGAAGAAAAAAUCAUCACUUACUAUAAGGAAGAGUUCCUGCCUUGAUUGAAGUUGGCAGUUCCUGUGACCCCAGGAGAGAAGGCUGUGGGCUGAUCAUUAGAGCAUUUUAGUGUGUGGGUUUGCCUGGAAGCAAUAGCCAGCAAAGGCUGGAAGAUGGGAAUAACGAUAAAGCAUGCUCAGCUUGUAGAGCUCUGAGCUGAACAGCAUUACUCUCGGCCAGAUUUCAUUUCUUGUUAAUUAUAUCCGAUUCCACUUGAGUAUGGAUUUCAUUGAAUUUAAAAUGUUGGGAGUGGGGGUCACUGCUCCAUGCCAUUCAUCAGAAACAUCAAUAAAAAGAGCACCCCAGAAACCCUUGACCA